UUGAUUGUGAUUUUCCUUGAUUAGCCAUUCAUAGUGACCCCUAUCUUGUCUUAUAGGAAAUAGCUUUUGGAUUCUUUUGAUUGCUACUAUUGUUUGUCCUUUGCAAUGCUUGAAUCAAUUGAAUAAACUAUCAAUUAGCAUGAUUAUUGAACUUGCAUGUUGAACCUACAUCCCUAGUGUUUAGUUUCUUGAAUUACUUGAUCAAUAUAGCUUUGUUACCAUAGUACCAACCAUUUUCUCACUACAAGCUUCGAAGUAGCUUGACUUAGGCUAUAUUUAAUACCGACUCACUCCUUUGGCUUCGACCCUCGACUUGCCUUAUACUCGUAUUAGGUUGGUUUAGGUUGUAUAAAUUGUAUUUUAUCUAGGGAUAGAUAAUUGAUGACACGUUUAUUCCUUUAUCAAAGAGGAGCAGGAAUCAAUAUUGAUUGGCUGAUGUUGUUGUUGACGAUGGAGUUAUUUUUUUGACCAGUUAUUACACUUAGAAUUCCCAUUUUUGUCUCUCUUAUUACAGUGAUUCGAUUUCUUCUGUUGUAGCAAAUUAACUUUCCAAAGGUUGAUUUUUUGCUUGACUCACUUCCGAUGUCGUCUUCUCUAAAGUGACAAUCUUGUUAUGGCGGAUUUGAUAAAGCGAGGUGGAUGCGGGUCAUUAUUUUCACUCGACUUGGUCGGAUAUAAACCGGGUGAGGAGAUAGCUUAGGAGGAAGUAGAUCAUGGUGGUGGUAGUGAAUUCAUUUGUUGGAAGAGAAGGAGAAGCAGUUGGAGAGAGAAAGAGGAGGGAGAGAAGGAGAAGCAGUAGGAGCGGCGGAUGAAGGUAGGUUUGUGAAUUAUUAGGGUUUCAUUUCCUUUUUAUAUUAUUUGUAGAUUAGGGAGACCGGUUAAGUUGUCACGGGUCUCUCCUAAUAAGUUUUUCAAUUUUUUUUAUAUAAAAUAAUGAGAAAUCGGUUAUAUACUAACGCAGGUCUCUCCUUUUAAAUUUUAAAAUAAAAAAAAUUAAGAGAGACCUGUUAUGUAAUAACACAGGUCUCUCCCUUUUAAAUUUAAAAUUAAAAAAAAUCAAGAGAGACCUGUUAUCUAUAUUAAAAGGUCACCGUUUAAUAUUCACUUCUUAAGACAAUACAAAAGAGACCCGUUUUUUGUAAUAUUGGGUCUCUUGAAACAAAGAGACCGGUUAUCUACUAAAACGAUCUCUUAUUUAAGGUCUCUUUGAGGAUUUUUGUAGUAAUGAUUGGUGAGUGAUGGAUGGUGGGAUAAACUUGAUUAUUUUCUUGAAUUUACACUACCCAUGAUGAACUUCUUGAGGGUUGCUGAUACAGACUCAUGUGUCUUACACUUAGUGUAUGACAUGAGGGAUACGAUGAUCGAACAGGUGAAAAAAGUUAUUUUCGAUAAUGAUGAUGCUGAUUAUCUCACAAGAUUGUCUCCGCACUACUACAUUUUUUAUCAAAUGCGACGGUAAAAAGAGAGCUAAUAAAACGACCCUUUUAUUACCAUUGCAUUAGAUAAGCCAUAUACAACGGCUUAUACUUUAGGGGGGCUAAUGCGACGACAUUAAGAAGCCGUUGCAUUAGGUGUGCUAAUACAACGGUUUGGAAGGCUGAUGCAACGGCAGUAGUCUUUAUCCACACAAUAAAGUUAAAUACAAGUACCUAAUUUUUUCUCCCACUCUUUUUCUGUUUCCCCUUCUCUCUAACUUUCUUUCUUUCUCCUCAGCUCCAUUAAAGCGACAUACUUCGAGUAUUCCAUUGACACGCACUCUGAGCUUUCUCUCCUCCACUAAAGCUGAGUUGAGUUGCGUAUUUUUUUUAAUAAUCAUCGAAUAACAAUUUAACAAUCUAGGAUUUCACUAUCUUUGAUUUUAUUGUCAAUAGAGAUAAUUUUGGGUUCUUUGGUUGAUUAACAAACUAUUUUUGAAUAUUAAUUCCUUUGAAUUUAUGGUGAUAUAAUUUCCUUGCUAUGUUUCACAUUUACUCGAGUUGUUGUGGAGCUUUUGACAACUAGAAGAAUUACCACUAUCAGCAACACUCGGAGAUCCAAUAUACUUCGCGCAGACCACCGCACCACCACAAGUGGAUGCCACCAAUGCUGCCGCAUCUGCAGCACUGCUAAGGGCUGGAUUGGCUUACUCUUUCACUAUGGUGUAUUUUGCCCAAAAGUGAGGGUAGAUGAAGGCAUGAAAUAGGAUUUACAAUGCAGCAAUGGAGAUACGGUUAAUAGAAAGGAGAGUAUUUUUUUAUUUCUUAAAGUUUUGAACCUGAAGUAUAUUAUAUUAACUUGUUUUAAACCCCCCUGUUUGCCUUUUGUGCGUGCAUUUGAAGCUCAAGUGCUUUGAAUAUUAAUUGAUGGGUUAGUGUCAAAUUAUAUUUGUUGAUUUUGUGAUUGGUUGCACAAUAUUGGUAGUGCAAUUAUGUCAUUGGAGUUUAGACUUUACUUUAAUUCAAUUAUUAGACUUGGAAGAAUGAGUAACUAUUAGCAUUUUUUGGAGUUUAGACUUUACUUGAAUUAAAUUCACAUAGGCAUGUGAUUUAGGUGUAGGAUAAAUUUUUAAUCCUAGUUCCCUUUUAUUACUUUGUAUCAUAUACUUAUAUGCCCUGUACCCAUCAGGUGUAAUGUUGCUGGUUUGUACUCGCUUAGAAGCAAGUUCGACACGUGUAUAUUAUGUUUUGGUAUAUUUCUUGCAUGUAAUUUGAUAUGCUUAACAAAACCUUUUCGGAUCCGUGGCGAAAUUAAGUUUGCAACUACUGGUGCCGUGUCGAGGCUGCUGCUGCGGCUGCUUGGCAAGGUUGCAGCUACUACUACACAGUUAGCUUUAAAAGGUUGCAGCUGCUACUGCCCUAUAGAGGUUAUUGUUGCCCUGGCAAGGCUGCAACUGCAGCUACAGCUGCUACCACUCUGCUACUACUUGUGAAUUUUAUGCUUUUGGAAAGCUGAGCAAAAAUAUUAAAUGUGAAAUUUUAUGCACUUGAAUUUUGAACAGUGAACUGCCACAUGAAUGGAGUUUCGGGUUAAAGAGGCAUGAAUAAGUAGAUGGAACAUGAAACAUUGAAAAUAAUACAAAAAGGGAGAACUGGGUUACUGUAAAGACAUUAGCCUCGUGGAUAUCCAAAUAUAUUUUAGUCAUGAGCUUUGAAUUUUCUCAAUUCCCUCUAUAUGGCAUUCUGGUUAUGUCCAUAUGGUUUAGGUGUUAGCUAGCAUAUAGUAACUAGUAAUAUCUACACUUUCAUUCCUUGAAUGUCCAAUCAUCCUCGUGUUUUAAAAAUCUAACUUAAACAACAAAAGAUUAAAGUAUUUGUUAUUCUUCUUCUUAUUAAACAGAGAGGCUGUAGAGAAGCUUUUUAAGGAUAUGCAUGAAGCGGGAAAUUGACUGCACUGGUUUUUUAACUUCUUUAACAGGGGAUUUAGAUCCAUUGGAUGUGUGUAAACACUGCUAGAGGUGGAUACUUAAACCGAAGAAGAUGCUUCCCGAAUUGCCUCACUUGAGAAAUUGGAGAAGUGGGAGAAAGAAAUAAUGAUGCGGUCCAAAGAAUUGCUUAAUGUAUUGUUUGGGGAUCAAUAUUAUUUAGUUUUAACUUUUAAUUGUUUUGUUCUUAGUUUAACUAGUGAUAAUUUAAUUUUGUAAUUUUCCUUAUA
This is a long non-coding RNA of Chenopodium quinoa (quinoa), 3630 nucleotides long. RefSeq lists it as uncharacterized. The transcript is spliced from 3 exons. NCBI's taxonomy places the organism in Eukaryota, Viridiplantae, Streptophyta, Magnoliopsida, Caryophyllales, Amaranthaceae. The record is from RefSeq and is a predicted model, not a curated record.